GCUCAGUUGGUUGAGUGGCUGACUCUUGAUUUUGAAUCAAGUCAUGAUCACACAGUUGGGGAGUUCGAGUCCCGCACUGGGCU
RNAcentral lists this transfer RNA (83 nucleotides) under Felis catus (domestic cat). It matches the Rfam family "tRNA". Rfam says of the family: Transfer RNA (tRNA) molecules are approximately 80 nucleotides in length. Lineage: Eukaryota; Metazoa; Chordata; Mammalia; Carnivora; Felidae. The record is from Rfam by way of RNAcentral.